UGGGGAAUAUUGCACAAUGGGCGCAAGCCUGAUGCAGCAAUGCCGCGUGAGUGAAGACGGCCUUAGGGUUGUAAAACUCUUUCGCUAGGGAAGAUAAUGACGGUACCUAGUAAAGAAGUCCCGGCUAACUCCGUGCCAGCAGCCGCGGUAAUACGGAGGGGACUAGCGUUGUUCGGAAUUACUGGGCGUAAAGAGUUCGUAGGCGGACUAGCAAGUUAGAGGUGAAAUCCCAGGGCUCAACCUUGGAACUGCCUUUAAAACUGCUAGUCUAGAGACCGGAAGAGGUUAGGGGAAUACCUAGUGUAGAGGUGAAAUUCGUAGAUAUUAGGUGGAACACCAGUGGCGAAGGCGCCUAACUGGUCCGGUACUGACGCUGAGGAACGAAAGCGUGGGGAGCAAACAGGAUUAGAUACCCUGGUAGUCCACGCCGUAAACGAUGAGUGCUAGAUGUUGGGAUUUUCGGAUUUCAGUGUCGCAGCUAACGCAUUAAGCA
Molecule: ribosomal RNA, 493 nt
Filed under: uncultured bacterium
Lineage: Bacteria
Description: bacterial SSU rRNA
Rfam family: Bacterial small subunit ribosomal RNA
Source: RNAcentral